Molecule: ribosomal RNA, 632 nt
Filed under: uncultured bacterium
Lineage: Bacteria
Description: bacterial SSU rRNA
Rfam family: Bacterial small subunit ribosomal RNA (bases 1-544)
Source: RNAcentral
CCUACGGGAGGCAGCAGUAGGGAAUCUUCCACAAUGGGCGAAAGCCUGAUGGAGCAACGCCGCGUGAGUGAUGAAGGCCUUCGGGUUGUAAAACUCUGUCAUUCGGGACGAACCGGAGUCUGAGGAAAUGCAGACUCUCUGACGGUACCGGAGGAGGAAGCCCCGGCUAACUACGUGCCAGCAGCCGCGGUAAUACGUAGGGGGCAAGCGUUGUCCGGAUUCACUGGGCGUAAAGCGCGCGCAGGCGGUGAUGUAAGUCUGAGGUGAAAACCCGAAGCUCAACUUCGGGACUGCCUUGGAUACUGCGUCACUUGAGGAUAGGAGAGGCAAGGGGAAUUCCACGUGUAGCGGUGAAAUGCGUAGAGAUGUGGAGGAACACCUGUGGCGAAGGCGCCUUGCUGGCCUAUUUCUGACGCUGAGGCGCGAAAGCGUGGGGAGCAAACAGGAUUAGAUACCCUGGUAGUCCACGCUGUAAACGAUGAGUGCUAGGUGUAGGUGGGCUCAUACCCAUCUGUGCCGAAGCUAACGCAUUAAGCNCNCCGCCGNGGGAGGUACGGUCGCGACGACGUAGAACGUACGAAAGGAAGUUAGACGGCGNGAGACGNGCGACGGACGACACGAGGGAGGUUAGG